RNAcentral lists this ribosomal RNA (1316 nucleotides) under uncultured soil bacterium. RNAcentral describes it as "bacterial SSU rRNA". It matches the Rfam family "Bacterial small subunit ribosomal RNA", at positions 27 to 1380 of the family's 1533-position model. The record is from RNAcentral.
GGAUGAACGCUGGCGGUGUGCCUUAAGCAUGCAAGUCGAACGGAGAGAUGAUGAAUCGCAAGAUUUGUUGUCAAUCAGUGGCGGACGGGUGAGUAUAAGUAGGGAACGUACCUUGAACUAUCGCAUAGCUCGUCGAAAGACGGGGUAAUACGGUAUGUGGACGCAAGUCUAAAGUCGCAAGACGGUUCUAGAGCGGCCCUAUUCCCAUCAGCUAGUUGGUAGGGUAAUGGCCUACCAAGGCGACGACGGGUAGGGGGUGUGAGAGCACGACCCCCCACAAUGGCACUGAGACACGGGCCAUACAUCUACGGAUGGCAGCAACUGGGAAUAUUCGGCAAUGGGCGAAAGCCUGACCGAGCGACACCGCGUGAGGGAUGAAGUAUUUCGGUAUGUAAACCUCUUUUAUAUAGUCGUCGAGGCUAUAAGAAUAAGCACCUACAAACUACGUGCCAGCAGUCGCGGUAAUACGUAGGGUGCAAGCGUUAUCCGGAUUCACUGGGCGUAAAGAGUCGUGUAGGUGGUAGACCGCAUCGCACUUGAAAGCCCGAGGCUUAACCUCGGCGUUGGGUGCGAGAUGGGUAUACUCGAGGGUGAGAGAGGAAAGGGGAACUCAUGGUGGAGCAGUGAAAUGCGUUGAGAUCAUGAGGAACACCAAAGGCGAAGGCACCUUUCUGGCUUACUUCUGACACUGAGACACGAAAGCUAGAGGAGAGAAGCAGAUUAGAGACCUGCGUAUUUCUAGCCCUAAACGCAUGCCUGCUAGUUACUCUGCGUAAGCGGAGCGACGUAAGCUAACGCGUUAAGCAGGCCGCCUGGGGAGUACGAUCGCAAGAUUAAAACUCAAAGGAAUUGACGGGGACCCGCACAACCGGUGGAGCGUGUGGUUCAAUUCGAGACAAAGCGAAAAACCUUACCAAGUUUUGACAUGCUACCGUUUUAACUCGCUGGAAACAGUGGGCUAUCCGCAAGGAUGGUAGCACAGCUGCUGCAUGGCUGUCGUCAGCUCGUGCCGUGGGGUGUUCCAUUAAGUUGGAGAACGAGCGCAACCCGUAUCCGAUGUUACAAGUGUCAUCGGAGACUGCCCUGGUUUUUUCCAGGGAGGAAGGAACGGACGACGUCAAGUCAGCACGGCGCUUAUAACUUGGGUUACACACACCCUACAAUGGCGAAUAACAAUGGGACGCAAGCCGGUAACGGCAAGCAAAUCCCCACUAAAUUUCGCCUCAGUUCAGAUUGAGGUCUGCAACCCGACCUCAUGAAGUCGGAAUCGGUAGUAAUCGCGAAUCAGAAGGUCGCGGUGAAUACGUUCUCGGGUC